Molecule: ribosomal RNA, 259 nt
Filed under: uncultured bacterium
Lineage: Bacteria
Description: partial small subunit ribosomal RNA
Rfam family: Bacterial small subunit ribosomal RNA
Source: RNAcentral
AGGAUGAACGCUGGCGGCGUGCUUAACACAUGCAAGUCGAACGGUGAAAGAGAGCUUGCUCUCUGGAUCAGUGGCGAACGGGUGAGUAACACGUGAGUAACCUGCCCUUGACUCUGGGAUAAGCACUGGAAACGGUGUCUAAUACCGGAUACGACUUCCGAAGGCAUCUUCUGGAAGUGGAAAGAAUUUCGGUCAAGGAUGGACUCGCGGCCUAUCAGCUAGUUGGUGAGGUAGCGGCCCACCAAGGCGACGACGGGUA